GCUUCCUUUCAAUGUGACAUGUGAUUUCAUUCCAGAUAUGGACUAUCUAAAUGAUAUUGUGACUUAUCUCCA
This 72-nucleotide non-coding RNA is filed under the name Chattonella subsalsa. Lineage: Eukaryota; Raphidophyceae; Chattonellales; Chattonellaceae. The record is from RNAcentral.